CGAGUGGCGGACGGGUGAGUAAUGUCUGGGAAACUGCCUGAUGGAGGGGGAGUAACUACUGGAAACGGUAAGCUAAUACCGCAUAACGUCGCAAGACCAAAGAGGGGGACCUUCGGGCCUCUUGCCAUCGGAUGUGCCCAGAUGGGAUUAGCUAGUAGGUGGGGUAACGGCUCACCUAGGCGACGAUCCCUAGCUGGUCUGAGAGGAUGACCAGCCACACUGGAACUGAGACACGGUCCAGACUCCUACGGGAGGCAGCAUG
This 262-nucleotide ribosomal RNA is filed under the name uncultured bacterium. Its description in RNAcentral is "partial 16S ribosomal RNA". It matches the Rfam family "Bacterial small subunit ribosomal RNA", at positions 92 to 353 of the family's 1533-position model. The record is from RNAcentral.